GGUUCGACUCGAGCGAAGCGAGAGAACGUUGCGCCAGCAACGGCCCGCAGGGCGAGCCACGAAGUGGCGAGUAAUCCUCUGGCACCGACCA
RNAcentral lists this small RNA (91 nucleotides) under Escherichia coli. RNAcentral's name for it is "partial RtT sRNA". It matches the Rfam family "RtT RNA", at positions 40 to 130 of the family's 130-position model. From Rfam's summary of the family: This family represents a bacterial cis-regulatory element known as RtT RNA. The record is from RNAcentral. Lineage: Bacteria; Pseudomonadati; Pseudomonadota; Gammaproteobacteria; Enterobacterales; Enterobacteriaceae.